Benincasa hispida (wax gourd) is the source of this 8128-nucleotide non-coding RNA. The record is from RefSeq and is a predicted model, not a curated record. NCBI's taxonomy places the organism in Eukaryota, Viridiplantae, Streptophyta, Magnoliopsida, Cucurbitales, Cucurbitaceae.
CAAAGGUUGCAAUUCUUUUAUGUUUGGCAUGAGGACUCUGGAUUUUCAGUGGAAGAUUUCUAAAAAAGAAAACAGAAAGUAACCUUCAGCAUGCAGUCGAUAUUAUGGUUAGAAAGGAGAUGCGUGAUCUUUCUAAAGAGAAACCACAGGCAUUCUUCUUUAAAAAGACUUUCCUGAAACAGGGAGUUGCACGAUUAGCAAAAUUUAGAUCCAAGGCAGGUUGGUCUGCGGAAAUAGCAUUUUGGCCUUCUUCAGGAGGUAGAUGGAAUAUUCAUAUUCCUGCAGGUGUGAAUAAUCAAGGAUGACACUCUUUUGCUGAAUUGAUUAGUUCCAGUUUGAAGGAUAGCUGCCCCCUCCUUCAAUAGAGUCCUUUGCUUGAAGUUGAUAAUUCUACUAUGGUUGAUCUAUAUCUUCUAGAAGGCCCUAUGCAACUAAAUUGUGGAGAGGCAGCAAAGGUAAAAGAAAGAUCAAGCCCCCCUCCCUUUCCAGUUUGGAUUAGAAAAAAGAAAGAAAGAAAAGAAAUGUUGGAUUUAAAUCUGAAUUCUUUGAUUGUGGUAACGAGAUUAAUGGAGUUCUAUACAUGGCCUGAAGUUAAAACCACCUUAGAAGAUUUUUUCCCAAGGAAAUGUUACAAUUAAUCCCUUCUGUGAUGACAAAGCACUGAUCAAGUUUCAUAUAGAGAUUGAUGAGGAGUUCUUGGAAGGUAAAUGGUAUGAAUACGGUCGGAUGCAUCUGCAGCUUGGGCAUUGGUCAAAACAAAGUUCAUUCCAUCCCAAAAGCUAUCUCAUGUUAUGGUGGUUGGAUUUCAGUUAAGAAUCUUCCUUUACCAUUUUGGAAGAAUUCUGUUUUUGAAGCUAUUGGGCAACAUUUAGGUGGUUUAGUGGAGAUCUCAUCAAAAACACUAAAUUGUUUGGAGUGUUCAUCAGCCUACAUUAAGAUUGAAGAGAAUAUUUGUGGUUAUAUCCCAACCUCUUUGGAUAUUGAAGACUUAUGCUUGGAAACGUGGCUAUUGCUUUUCAAUUUUAUUCGGAUGUCCCCAAAGGGACAAAGUGGCUAUUAUUUUUGAAAGUUCGGAUCUUUGAUCUCCCAAAACAAUCAGCGGCUUGCAAAAGAUGUUUUGGGGCAGAAGACUUUUCGAAUUCCUUGGAUAAAAUCUGCAUUAAAGAAGCAAUGAUGAAUGAAGGAUUCUUGGUCGACACACUAAAGGAGGGAAUUAAAGUAUCGGAAGGUAUUCCAGAGGUCAUUACUUCAGGGAAAGAAGGAAUUUACUCGGAUAACAUGAGGAAGGUUGAAAAGACAAAUUUGCCUGUUGAUUACCAUUCACAGCCAUUUAUUAAUUCGGAGAGAAAAUUUCAGCCCAGACAACGAGGAGAGAAAUGAUUCUUCUUAUUGAAAAUUCAAUUCCAGGCCAAGAAGACAAUUCGACUCUCUUAAUUCCUAAAGACAACCCCAACUGCAAUCUUGAAGGAGACAACUCAAAGUUCAGGAUCCGGAUUUUCAAAACGAAAUUGUAGAAGAGCUUGAGUUUGAGCAAGAUUUCCAUUACAUUAAUGAAGAGGCUUUGAGCCCCAAAAAUCUGGUAUGUUCAUCACCUCGGACCUGUUUUCAAAAGUUCACACAUACAAUGGAUUUCUUGGUGCACCACUCUCAUAAUCUAGAUGAUCUAGAAGAUAAAUGUGUUCGAGUACUCAUUCCACAAGGUUCAAGACCUUCAAGAAAACGUCAUUCCUCUCCAAUAAUCAUUCAACACAAUUUCAGGGUUCUAGGGUCAAAAGUUUCUUUCGUUCAAGGCUCCUUUCCUCAGGAGUAUAAGAAGCCUUCUUCUCAAAGUCAGAAGACGAAUCAUAUAUUAGUAUGAGUAGUGAAGAUUCCGAUCAUGAUGAGCCUGAAAAUGUUGAAGAUUCUUCUACUGAUCAAAUGGGGGAAGCAUACAGAGCACUUUCCUUUCAGUGGUAACAAACUUUUGAAAUAGCACCUCCUAAGGAGGUGUCAUAAGCAUGAAGAUCGUUACUUUGAACACGAGGGGACUUAAUGACAAAUCCAAAUAGUCAGUUUUUAAGCAUUUCUUACAAAAUCAGCAUCUUGAUUUAGUUCUGAUUCAAGAAACCAAGCGACCUAUUGUUGAUGUUCAAUUUGUUAAAUCCAUAUGGAGCUCUAAUGACAUCGGCUGGACAUUUGUGGAAGCAAUCGACAAAUCUGGAGGUAUACUUACCAUGUGGGAUGGAAGCAAAGUUACGCCUCUGGUUCUUGAAAGGCGGUUAUACACAUUUUUCUGUUAAGAUCGUGACUCAAUGCAAAAUCACGUGCUGGGUGGCAAAUGUGUAUAUGUUGCAUCUGAAUAUAGGGAAAGAAGGCAUCUUUGACUGGAACUUGUUUCAAUUUCUAAUUAUUACGAGGAAGCUUGGUGCAUUGGAGGAGACUUCAACAUAACAAGAUGGAGUCAUGAAAGAUUCCCUAUUGGAAGAACUACAAGAGGAAUGAUAAAGUUCAAUAAUUUUAUCCAAUCUAUAGGGUUAUUAGAAACACCAUUAUCCAAUGGAAACUUCACAUGGUCAAGGGAGGGCACUUCGAAAUCACACUCUCUUCUAGACAGAUUCUUCAUCAAUAAAGAUUGGGAUGAUUUGUUUGAUAACUCAAGAGUCAAUAGAAAAGCAAGGCUAUUCUCGGACCACUUUCCCUUGCUCUUAGAGGCUGGAGCAGUCUCUUGGGAUCCUUCCCCUUUUCGAUUUUUCAAUAGUUGGAUGAGGAUUAAUGAGUGCUCGAAGGUCAUCCAAAAGGUUUUGGCUCAUGAUCGAUCAGACGGUUGGGCAGGCUUUACAAUAAGUCUCAAGUUGCGCAAGGUGAAAGAUAAAAUUUAAUCUUGGUUUGUGGACUAUGAACUAUAAAGGAAAAGAAAAGAGAGACUUAUUAUCUUAAUUGACUUUUUUUUAUUCAAAAGCCGAGAGAGACGACCUUUCAAAUGUUGAAUUGGAUAUUAGACUUGCCAUCAAGGGAGAUCUUAUGAAUUGGUACCUUCUGGAGGAGUGGAACUUAAUUCAAAAAAGAAAAUUGAAUUGGUUAAAAUUGGGUGACGAAAAUACUAGCUUUUUCCAUAGAUUUCUUUGAGCAAAGAAGAGGAAGAAUAUGAUUACUGGAUUAGUUUCAAGCAAUGGGUCAAUAUUGCAAUCUUAUUGGGAGAUUGAAUCCGAAAUCUUGAGCUAUUUUGCUUCCUUGUAUUUGAAAAUUCUAGGUUCUCGGGCCAUCCCUUCUGAUAUUUCUUGGAAUCGUAUGUCGGCUGUCAAAAUUCAGCAUUAAUUUCCCCCUUUUGAAGUGAGGAGAUCCUUCAAGCAAUUAAAUCUCUUGGCAAAAACAAAGCUCCCGGUCAGAUGGAUUUAUAGUUGAGUUUUUCAUUGAAGUUUGGCAGAAUUUAAAGGCCGUCUUUCAGAAAAUGUUUCAGGAAUUUCACUCUAGUGGAAAGCUGAAUGCUCACAUCAAGAAGAACUUUAUUUGCCUAAUUCCCAAAAAGAUUGACUCGUCACAAGUCAAAGGCUUUAGACCUAUAAGUCUAACUACCUCCACUUACAAGAUUAUUUCUAAAGUACUCGCUGAGAGGAUUAAAAAGAUAAUCCCAAGCAUUAUCUCUAAUACAUAAAGUGCAUUUGGAGGAAGACAAAUUCUAGACCCCGUUCUAAUUGCCAAUGAAGCAGUUGAAGACUAUUGAGCAAGUAUGAAGAAGGGGUGGAUUCUAAAGCUAGACCUUGAGAAGGCUUUUGACCGGGUUGAUUGGAGUUUUUUAGAAUGGAUUCUUAAUCUUUUGGGGUUUCAUCCAAAAUGGAUAGAAUGGAUUAAUGGGUAUGUUCAAAACCCAAAAUUCUCUGUGUACAUCAAUGGAAGACCUAGAGGACGCAUUCAAGCUUCAAGGGGAAUUAGACAAGUUGAUCCACUAUCACCAUUUCUUUUCCUCAUCAUUAGUGAAGUGCUCAGGGUAUUGGUAAAUAGAGCUCAUGACAGUGGACUGUAUGAAGGGUUUUUGGUUGGCAAAGACGACGUGCACUUAUCAAUUUUGCAAUUCGCAGAUGAUACUCUUCUCGUUUGCAAGCACGAUGAAGCCAUGUUAGACAUUCUUAUUCAAACAAUAAGUUUAUUUGAAUGGUGCUCCAGACAGCAAGUUAAUUGGGAGAAGUCAGCAUUAUUUGGAGUCAAUAUUGAUAAGAAUUCUUUGAUCUCUACUUCCACUAGGCUAAGUUGCAAAGUGGGCAAGUUUCCUUUCACUUCUCUCGGCCUACCUCUUGGUGGAUACCCGAAACAACACUCUUUCUGGCAGCCUAUUAUUGAUAAAGUUCACCUUAACCAAGAUAUAAUUCAACUUAAACUUGAUAGAUGGAAAAGGUAUAACUUGUCUAGAGGGGGUCGUUUAACCUUAUGUAAUGCAGUUUUGGCCAAUCUUCCCACUUCCCACUUACUAUAUGUCUAUAUUUCAAAUGCCUUCCUUGGUGAUCUCAGAGUUGGAGAGAAUUUUAUGUAAGUUUUUUUGGGAAGGUCAAAAAGGCAGCAAGCUGAACCAUCUGGGAAAGUGGGAGUUAGCUUCUAAAUCUCUAAUUGAUGGUGGCCUAGGGAUUGGUAAUCUGAAAAAUAGAAAUACAACCUUGUUGUUCAAAUGGAAUUGGAAGUUUCUUAAGGAACAAGACUCUCUAUGGUGCAAAUUUGUUAAAAGUUGGAGUUGAUCCACAUCUUUGGCACACAUCAGGCAAGCUUGUUUUAAGCCUGAGAAGUCCUUGGAUCAGCAUCUCAAUAACAUGGAGUAAAUUUAGAUCCCUUGAAAAGUUUAGGCUUGGUAAUGGAAGGAAUAUUUUCUUUUGGACAGAUUCAUGGUGUACUAAAGUUCUUCUCAAGGACUGUUUUCCUAAGCUUUUCUGAACUGCUUCAUCUCCAAAGGGUAGUGUUAAUGAUCAUUGGGAUGGGACCCAAAUAUUGGUUCUUGGAACCUCUUACUUCGUAGGAAACUUAAGGAAGAGGAGAUCGUUGAAGUUCAAUAGCUGCUAAGUAGAGUUGAGGGUAGCAGAAUUUCAUCUUUAUAGGACUCGAGAUUGUGGUCUUUGGAUGCAUCAGGAAGGUACUCGGUGAAAUCCUUGUCAAAAUAUUUGAUUGCUUGUUCUCCGAUUGAUAAGGUGUGUUACAAAGCUCUUUGGAAAUCAAAGAGUCCCAAAAGAUUCAAUAUUUUGGCAUGGAUUCUUCUAUAUGGUUCCCUUAAUUGUUCAUCCACUUUGCAACACAAGCUACAGAACAAAUUUCUAUCACCCUUGAUCCGUCCUCUUUGCUUAGACAAUGGAGAAGACAUGCAACAUUUAUUAUUUGAUUGUUCCUUCUCAAGAAAUUGCUGGUGAAAAUUAUUUGCUUGCUUCGGUGUGCAAUGGGUUUUUGGGAACACAACUAAAGACAAUGUUCUCCAUUUGUUGGUUGGUCCUUCUCUUACCUCUAGAGCUCAGAAACUAUGGUCAAAUGCAAUUAAAGCUUUGGUUUCUGAGAUUUGGUUUGAACGUAACUAGAGAAUUUUCCAUGAUAGUUCUAAAGAUUGGCUUGACAGAUGGGGUCCGCCCGCCUCUUAGCUUCUUCUUGGAGUUCGCAAUCUAAGCUUUUGGAAGAUUAUUCCAUUCAGGAUAUUUGUCUUAAUUGGAAUGCUUUUAUCUUUUUUUAUGUAAUCAAGCAAUUUAGUACUUUUGUAUCCUCUUAAUCCUUGUAUCUUGUCAUCGUAUUGGAAAUAGUGAGGGUGCUAUGGGGGUGUCAACAUAGUUGAGAUGUCUGGGUGCGCCCCUGAUCCUCAGAUUUUGAUUGUCUUGGUUUGCUAUUUUGUCUCAUUGUAAUUUGAGCCUAUUGGUCUUUUCAUUAUAUCAAUAAAAAAAAAUCUAUUCUAAUUUGAAAAAAAAAAAAAUACUCGGAUGUUUGAUGAUUUUUACCACUAUGAUUUUUUGAUAAGAAUAGCUUUCAUUGAGAAAAAAAUGAACGAAUAUACGAGAACACAAAAGCCAAGCCCACGAAAAGGGGGAAUCCCUCUACAAGAAGGGACUCUAGUCAUACAAAAUCAUGACUAUAGAAUAAUUACAAAAAACCUUCGAAAUCGAAGCCCAAUGUGAAACAUAAAAACGAACAAGAGACUGAAUUUUUCUAGCAUCCCUCUCAACCCCCUGAACACCCUACUAUUCCUUUCACCCCGCAACUCUAAUAGCACAAAUGCUUGCAAGCUAGAGAAAACGAUCUUUCUCUCCAAACGGUGGAUUAAGGAUGAACUCCUCGAACAUAUCCCUAACAUCUUUGUAACGAGCACACAUCAUACUAAACGUUUGGAAAAAAGAGUCCCAGACAAAGCUCGCAAACUCACAUUGCCAAAGAAUAUGAUCUAAGUCUUCCUUUACCUUCCAACAAAGAAUACAACAAGAAGGCCCAACCAGUGAUGACAUCUUCCUAACAAGUCUAUCCAACAUACUAAUACGACUGUGAAGAACGUGCCAAGUGAAAAAAUCUCAUAUUUCUAGGAAUCUUAAUCCUCCACAGCGACGAAAAGACUGACCCACCCAAAAGAAAAGGAUCAACCAAACAUUGGAAGAAAGACUUACAUGAGAACCCUUCCAAAGGAUUAGGGCUCCAAACUCUCAAAUCUCUCCUCCCAAGACGAAAAGGGUGACUCUCAAGAAGAGAAAGGAGAACAACUACAUUCUGUCGUUUACCUAUCGGAAAGUGCACCACGAAACCCGAAGGAAAACGAACAAAAGCUCCCUAUCCACACAAGAAAAUUAGCCACAAAAUGAUUUUUAAAAGAAGUCAAAUGAUUUUGCACAAAAAAAAAAAAUUAAAUAAAUAAAGAAAGACAAAUGAUACAACUGCAGAAAUAACUCACAAAGAUGUCUCUCCCCCAACCUAUUGAUCUUCCCCAAAAUAUGUCUUUCUCCCAUCCCCCACCGCACACUGGAUCCAAAGAACAAAAAGCAGGGGGCUCUUUCGAGAUAUCUUUCUAAAGAUUCCGAUAGGUGUCUUUAAUCCCUUUAGCCAAUCACUCGAAAGGAUUGGGGCCAUGUUUACUAACAAUAAUCCUACGAGAGAAUUGGGCUCAGAGGAAAAGCGCCACAACCAUUUGGCUAAAAUGGCUUUAUUACGAAUCCUAAGGUUCCCAAUUGCUAAACGCCCCCAAUGAAACCGGUUUUUCGAUAACCUCCCAUCUUAUUAGGUGCAAGCCUUUUCCUUUUCCUUCAUCAAUCCCCUUCCAAAGGAAAUCACGCAGCAGUCUCUCCGAAAGCUUACACACUUCAUCCGGAGCUCUAAAGAGAGAAGAAAUAAAUCAAAAUACUACAACCCACUUUAGAAAAGAAACCCUUUUUCCAAGAGGCUAACCUACUAUGAACUUUGUCCAUCACGGGAUCCCACAGAGAAACAUACUUCAGAUUAUUCCUGAGAGAAAGGCCUAGGUAAGAAGAAGGAAGGCUCCCAACCUUAUCCGCCUCACUAUUGAUACCUGUUGAAAAUAGAGGGUUUUAGCCCUAAGGGCAUUUUAGUAAUUUAGCUUUGCCCUGGUUUGUACUAGGUUUCCCGCCAGUCUAUUUAUAUCAGUGUAUUCUCUUGUAUGAAUUAUUAGAAAAUAAUAAAAAGUUCUCUGUAUUGUGGUUUUUUCUCCCUGUUCUAGGAUUUUCCAUGUAAACGUUGUGUGCUCUUUUCUUCUUUUACUUUCAUCAAUACCCAAGACACAACAGUACUUUGAUUAGUCCCUUUCACAAGGUUUACUAAAAUCAUCUCUCUUUCUAUUAAAGAACAGAUUAGACAUCCUAAUCUAGGGCAUCCCAGUCUUUCUUUCUUAAAUACUUAUUUUUAAAUCAAAUUUUCUAGUUAAGGGCGUAAUCUCCCUUUCCUUGUCAGAGAAUGACUUAUCUCCCUGGCCUAUAAAUUUUGUAGGGCCCUUUUCUUUUCAAUGACGUGAUGGUUUCUCACUAUUAAGGGAAAAAAAAAAAGGAAAACUCUUCCCCCUAAUGCUUCAUGUAGAUAUCAUCAAUAAUAAAAGAAAAUUAAACCACACCACAUCCAAGCCAAUGAUAAUUUUUUUCUCUUGUGCAUACAUUCGUGACAAUCAUCCAAACAGAAAACGUGUUUCAACUAUGUACAACUG